GCCACGGUCCUUAGAAGGUGCCAGGCCUGUGGGACAGACUGCGUCUUCCGGGAAGGCCUCUCCUUGGAGUCGGGUUGCUUGAGAGUGCAGCCCUAAGCAGGUGGUAAACUCCAUCUAAGGCUAAAUACAACCACGAGACCGAUAGUAAACAAGUACCGUGAGGGAAAGUUGAAAAGAACUUUGAAGAGAGAGUUCAAGAGUACGUGAAACCGUUCAGGGGUAAACGGGUGGAGCCCUAAAGGUCGAACGGGGAGAUUCAGUAUCCCGUCCGCACUGCCGCUCCUCGCAGUCGGGUAUUCGGGGGCUUCGGCCUUCCGGGCCCUCUGCGGGGUCUCGCGCGCAGGCGGGGGAGCGCACUUCUCCCCUAGUAGCACGCCGCGACCGGUUGGGUGUCGGUCUAAGGCCCGGGUGCGAGUCCGUUUCGCGGGUGACCGCGGCUCGGAGCCCUGGUGUCCCGGCCGACUGCCCGACCGUCGAACGUAUGGAAAAGGCCCGCGUGCUUCGCGCGCGCUCGUGCCGCUUGCGAGCGUCCGCCCGGACCCCGUUGUACGGACUUGUCCGUCGCGGGACGGUCGGCGCUGUCGGCGAGUGGAUUUCUCGAGCAGUGGCCUGCUCCCAGUUUGCGGCGCUUAAAAAAGGGUGGCCCACCCGGCCCGUCUUGAAACACGGACCAAGGAGUCUAACAUGUGCGCGAGUCAUUGGGUACCACUACACCCAAGGGCGUAUUGAACGAAAAGGCCGGCCUUUGUGCCGGCUGAGGGAGGAUGGAGGCUCGCUCGCGGGCCUCCCGCACUCCCGGGGCGUCUCGUCCUACCUCCGCUUGUCGUCGAAGGUGAGGCGCACCAAGAGCGCACACGUUUGGGACCCGAAAGAUGGUGAACUAUGCCUGGCCAGGACGAAGUCAGGGGAAACCCUGAUGGAGGUCCGUAGCGAUUCUGACGUGCAAAUCGAUCGUCGGAGCUGGGUAUAGGGGCGAAAGACUAAUCGAACCAUCUAGUAGCUGGUUCCCUCCGAAGUUUCCCUCAGGAUAGCUGGCGCUCAUUGAACCGAGUCCCAUCCGGUAAAGCGAAUGAUUAGAGGCCUUGGGAUCGAAACGGUUUCAACCUAUUCUCAAACUUUAAAUGGGUGGGAACCGCGGCUUGCUUAAAUGUGAAGCCGCGGACCACGGAUCGGAGUGCCCAGUGGGCCACUUUUGGUAAGCAGAACUGGCGCUGUGGGAUGAACCAAACGCCGGGUUAAGGCGCCCGAACCGACGCUCAUCCGAUACCAUGAAAGGUGUUGGUUGCUUAAGACAGCAGGACGGUGGCCAUGGAAGUUGGAAUCCGCUAAGGAGUGUGUAACAACUCACCUGCCGAAGCAACUAGCCCUGAAAAUGGAUGGCGCUGAAGCGUCGUGCCUAUACCCGGCCGCCGGCGGCAGAAGGCGGUCGCCCUCGGGCGGUCGCUGCGAAGCCCCGGUGAGUAGGAGGGUCGCGACGGUGAGCGCAGAAGGGUCUGGGCGCGAGCCUGCCUGGAGCCGCCGUCGGUGCAGAUCUUGGUGGUAGUAGCAAAUACUCCAGCGAGGCCCUGGAGGACUGAUGUGGAGAAGGGUUCCGUGUGAACAGCCGUUGCACACGGGUCAGUCGAUCCUAAGCCCUAGGAGAAAUCCGAUGUUGAUGGUCGCGGGAUGUUCUUGAAGCUCGCUAAAUGGCGGCUCGGUCCGCGGCGCUCGAAAGGCGUCUUCGUGGGUUCGGUCUAAACGAGGCGAAACGUCGAGACGAACGCUGUCUUGUCGCUCCCUGCGCGCUCCGCGUGUCGAGGCUCUCUUGGAGAAGUCGCGUAUUUGCCCACGGGCUGCGCGCGCCAGAGAGGUCGCCGCGGAGGUCGGACGUACCAGGUCAGAGCGGACAGCGGGACUCGAGACGGAAUAGUAGCCUCCCGCCACGGAGACAAGCGCUUUCUCGGGGGUUCGGUAUCAGCGAGACGAAAGACUCGGGAGAAACCAGUGACAUAACCUGCACCGCCUCAUUCCCUUCGCGCUCUGCGUGUCGACGCUCCCCCGGAGAAGUCGCGUUUGCCCACGGGCUUCGCGCGCCGGGGAGGUCGCCGCAAGAGGUCAGACGUAAAAGGUUGAGUGGGCACGGUCGGAAGAUUGGUUCUCGCCGGGACGAGUAAGUCUCCCACCCCGGGUCAAGGCGUGAUGUCUUCUCUGGAGCGCACGCGAGCCGUCGAGCUUUUAAAAAGUACCCCGUCCGUCGGGCGAAAGGGAAUCCGGUUCCUAUUCCGGAACCCGGUUGCGGAACCGCACUCACGAUCUUCGUAUUGACACGGUAACGUGAAAGACCCCAGAGAAGCCGUCUGGAGCCCCGGGAAGAGUUUUCUUUUCUGCCUGAGCGUUCAGGUUCCAUGGAAUCCUCUCGCAGGGAGAUAUGGAAUAGAACGCGAAGAGCACCGCAGUUGCUGCGGUGUCCGGGGAGUCCCGUCGGUCCUUGA
Molecule: ribosomal RNA, 2471 nt
Filed under: Metretopus borealis
Lineage: Eukaryota; Metazoa; Arthropoda; Insecta; Ephemeroptera; Metretopodidae
Description: eukaryotic LSU rRNA
Rfam family: Eukaryotic large subunit ribosomal RNA
Source: RNAcentral